RNAcentral lists this transfer RNA (73 nucleotides) under Stegodyphus mimosarum. It matches the Rfam family "tRNA". Rfam says of the family: Transfer RNA (tRNA) molecules are approximately 80 nucleotides in length. Their secondary structure includes four short double-helical elements and three loops (D, anti-codon, and T loops). Further hydrogen bonds mediate the characteristic L-shaped molecular structure. tRNAs have two regions of fundamental functional importance: the anti-codon, which is responsible for specific mRNA codon recognition, and the 3' end, to which the tRNAs corresponding amino acid is attached (by aminoacyl-tRNA synthetases). tRNAs cope with the degeneracy of the genetic code in two manners: having more than one tRNA (with a specific anti-codon) for a particular amino acid; and 'wobble' base-pairing, i.e. permitting non-standard base-pairing at the 3rd anti-codon position. Lineage: Eukaryota; Metazoa; Arthropoda; Arachnida; Araneae; Eresidae. The record is from Rfam by way of RNAcentral.
GCCUUCGUGGUGUAGUGGUCAGCACACUGAGCCGGUAUUUCAGAGGUCCGCGGUUCGAUUCCCGGCGAAGGCC